This 90-nucleotide transfer RNA is filed under the name Agromyces flavus. RNAcentral describes it as "tRNA-Pro". The record is from RNAcentral. Lineage: Bacteria; Bacillati; Actinomycetota; Actinomycetes; Micrococcales; Microbacteriaceae.
CGUCGGCGACGCGCUCGCGGAUGGCAUCCGCGGCGCUCGGGUCGCCGCCGGCGCGUUCCUCGAUGACCCGUUCGAGCAGGGAGUCGGCGA